RNAcentral lists this ribosomal RNA (804 nucleotides) under Leuconostoc mesenteroides. RNAcentral describes it as "bacterial SSU rRNA". It matches the Rfam family "Bacterial small subunit ribosomal RNA", at positions 10 to 796 of the family's 1533-position model. Lineage: Bacteria; Bacillati; Bacillota; Bacilli; Lactobacillales; Lactobacillaceae. The record is from RNAcentral. RNAcentral also lists the same sequence under 1 other name.
AGUUUGAUCCUGGCUCAGGAUGAACGCUGGCGGCGUGCCUAAUACAUGCAAGUCGAACGCACAGCGAAAGGUGCUUGCACCUUUCAAGUGAGUGGCGAACGGGUGAGUAACACGUGGACAACCUGCCUCAAGGCUGGGGAUAACAUUUGGAAACAGAUGCUAAUACCGAAUAAAACUCAGUGUCGCAUGACACAAAGUUAAAAGGCGCUUUGGCGUCACCUAGAGAUGGAUCCGCGGUGCAUUAGUUAGUUGGUGGGGUAAAGGCCUACCAAGACAAUGAUGCAUAGCCGAGUUGAGAGACUGAUCGGCCACAUUGGGACUGAGACACGGCCCAAACUCCUACGGGAGGCUGCAGUAGGGAAUCUUCCACAAUGGGCGAAAGCCUGAUGGAGCAACGCCGCGUGUGUGAUGAAGGCUUUCGGGUCGUAAAGCACUGUUGUAUGGGAAGAACAGCUAGAAUAGGGAAUGAUUUUAGUUUGACGGUACCAUACCAGAAAGGGACGGCUAAAUACGUGCCAGCAGCCGCGGUAAUACGUAUGUCCCGAGCGUUAUCCGGAUUUAUUGGGCGUAAAGCGAGCGCAGACGGUUAAUUAAGUCUGAUGUGAAAGCCCGGAGCUCAACUCCGGAAUGGCAUUGGAAACUGGUUAACUUGAGUGCAGUAGAGGUAAGUGGAACUCCAUGUGUAGCGGUGGAAUGCGUAGAUAUAUGGAAGAACACCAGUGGCGAAGGCGGCUUACUGGACUGUAACUGACGUUGAGGCUCGAAAGUGUGGGUAGCAAACAGGAUUAGAUACCCUGGUAGUCC